RNAcentral lists this long non-coding RNA (726 nucleotides) under Chinchilla lanigera (long-tailed chinchilla). Its description in RNAcentral is "lncRNA (ENSCLAG00000025666.1)". Lineage: Eukaryota; Metazoa; Chordata; Mammalia; Rodentia; Chinchillidae. The record is from RNAcentral.
GGUGAAAUGGGGCAGGCGGUGAAACUGCCAGUGUACAUCUGAGGGGACUGAUGCCAACCGCAGCUGAGAGGCAGUGUGAGCACCGAGCAUGCUGGGGGGCAGCCUGGGUGUGAGGACCCCAAAUGUCCCCGCACAGAAUCUGGCCAGGAGCAUUACUCUACACACAGAAGUUCUGUUCCAGCGUCUGAGUAGCUCGCCAAGGAAAUCUCCGCUGUUUACCUGGGAAGGCGAAACUGAGUCGAUGCUGAGAUCAGGGUGGCUGUUAUGCGAAGCUCCAGGAGGCAGGAGCCCAAGUGUGGGCGCACAGGGACACGCCAGGACGGGAGAAACUUCCACGGUGUCCCUUCUGUGCUCUAGGAACUUGGGCUGGCAUGCUCAGGGGGCUGUGUUGCCUUCAGAGUGCUGUGGCCUGCAGUGUGCAGAGGGUCACAGGAUCCAAAUUUCAGGACGCGUGGAGCGCACGGCUGCGCUUGGUGUCAGCCGGCUGUCGACAGCACUGGCAUCCGAGGCUGGCUCCUGAGCAUCUGCACCUCCAUGUUCUCUGGCCCAGGCUGCAUUAGCUAAGGCCCACUGAGACCUGGAUAAACAGAGAGCAAGUUUAAUUGAAUAAAAUAUGUCGUUGGCUUCUUUCCCACCAGGCUCAAUGUUUCUCAGCGACUUCCAUCGGUCCCAUUUUCCUCUCUACAGCUGGCAGGAGGCUCCCUUCGCAGGAGGAGGGAUGAGUCA